This 253-nucleotide ribosomal RNA is filed under the name uncultured bacterium. RNAcentral's name for it is "partial 16S ribosomal RNA". It matches the Rfam family "Bacterial small subunit ribosomal RNA", at positions 524 to 776 of the family's 1533-position model. The record is from RNAcentral.
UACAGAGGGUGCAAACGUUGCUCGGAAUUAUUGGGCGUAAAGCGCAUGUAGGCGGCAUAGUAAGUUCACUGUGAAAGCCCUUGGCUCAACCAAGGAAGUGCAGUGAAAACUGCUAAGCUCGAGUUCUGAAGAGGGUCGCGGAAUGGCCAGUGUAGAGGUGAAAUGCGUAGAUAUCAGGAGGAACACCGAUGGCGAAGGCAGGUCUCUGGGUAGAUACUGACGCUGAGGUGCGAAAGCCAGGGGAGCAAACGGG